GACUCCAGAGCUUUCUAGUGCUCACUGUGCAUGUGCAGUUUUGUCUGACAACUAGUUUUAGACCUUGGGACAAGCUAGGCCAACCAUUUUGGGAGUGUUUCAUGUGCGUAAUGCGAUGACCUAGUUGUGUCUUUGGAACCAAGAGGAGUCACCACCGCCGCCUCUGCCGCCUCUUCUCCCACCACCGUUGGUCCCCUUCCCUUCCCCUCUGGCAUCUCGUCGGAGGCUGAAGGGAGUGGAGAUUCAUCGUUUUCAAAAAGUUUUCUAGUAGAUCGAGUCCUCAGGGUUAGAAUCUCUCCAUGCCAAAUUUCUUGGUAUUAGGGAUUUAUUUCCUCCUCUCUGGCAACAGCAAAGGGAAAGGGUGGAAUCGCUUUCUCCAUGGCGACUACGUCGAAGAUGAGGACGCCAACUAUGGCAUGAGCAAUUUUAUCGGCAUAACCACGAAGACCUUUCUUUCCGGAUGGCGACAUCAAGGUGGAGAUGAUGUCGCUGCCAUGGAAUAUUUUUCUUCGGUCUCUUCUUCAUUUUGUCGUGGUUAGAUCUAGCCACGAUGAAGGACUAGGGAGAAUAAUUUUCAGAUCAAUUUUCCUCAUUCUUUGGUGGCAGAAAGAAGAAGAAGGAAGACAAAAGAGAGAAGAAGUUUCUCAACUCUGCCUGCAGGAAUGUUGGUCAUCGUUCGUUGGGCAUUUAUUCUUAGGCCUUUUGCCGAGUGUUUGCUUGUGCAGUCAUCCAUAUGAAGCGUCAUACAAGUUUGGUUUUGAGAUUUGGAGCUACUCACUGCGUGGGUAUAAUUUAGAUGAAAAUUAGUUUCUGAAUAUAUGUAUUGUAUUCCAGAGUGCUUGUAAUAUAUUGAUGUAUUCAGCUAUUAUAUAAUAUAAUUCUUCUUUCGACUAAAAAAA
Molecule: long non-coding RNA, 899 nt
Filed under: Sorghum bicolor (sorghum)
Lineage: Eukaryota; Viridiplantae; Streptophyta; Magnoliopsida; Poales; Poaceae
Description: long non-coding RNA (SBIC_LNC003563)
Source: RNAcentral